CAGCCGCCGCGGUAAAACGUAGGGUGCGAGCGUUAAUCGGAAUUACUGGGCGUAAAGGGUGCGUAGGCGGUUCAGCAAGUCUCGUGUGAAAUCUUCGGGCUCAACCCGAAGUCUGCACGGGAAACUACUGGGCUUGAGUAAUGGAGAGGUGAGUGGAAUUUCCGGUGUAGCGGUGAGAUGCGUAGAUAUCGGAAGGAACACCUGUGGCGAAAGCGGCUCACUGGACAUUUACUGACGCUGAUGCACGAAAGCUAGGGGAGCAAACAGGAUUAGAGACCCCCGUAGUCCCUGUCUCUUAUAC
RNAcentral lists this ribosomal RNA (301 nucleotides) under uncultured bacterium. RNAcentral describes it as "partial 16S ribosomal RNA". It matches the Rfam family "Bacterial small subunit ribosomal RNA", at positions 509 to 807 of the family's 1533-position model. The record is from RNAcentral.